RNAcentral lists this ribosomal RNA (570 nucleotides) under uncultured fungus. RNAcentral's name for it is "eukaryotic LSU rRNA". The stretch from base 210 to 363 matches the Rfam family "5.8S ribosomal RNA". The record is from RNAcentral. Lineage: Eukaryota; Fungi.
GUCGUAACAAGGUCUCCGUAGGUGAACCUGCGGAGGGAUCAUUACACAAAUAUGAAGGCGGGCUGGAACCUCUCGGGGUUACAGCCUUGCUGAAUUAUUCACCCUUGUCUUUUGCGUACUUCUUGUUUCCUUGGUGGGUUCGCCCACCACUAGGACAAACAUAAACCUUUUGUAAUUGCAAUCAGCGUCAGUAACAAAUUAAUAAUUACAACUUUCAACAACGGAUCUCUUGGUUCUGGCAUCGAAGAAGAACGCAGCGAAAUGCGAUAAGUAGUGUGAAUUGCAGAAUUCAGUGAAUCAUCGAAUCUUUGAACGCACAUUGCGCCCUUUGGUAUUCCAAAGGGCAUGCCUGUUCGAGCGUCAUUUGUACCCUCAAGCUUUGCUUGGUGUUGGGCGUCUUGUCUCUAGCUUUGCUGGAGACUCGCCUUAAAGUAAUUGGCAGCCGGCCUACUGGUUUCGGAGCGCAGCACAAGUCGCACUCUCUAUCAGCAAAGGUCUAGCAUCCAUUAAGCCUUUUUUUCAACUUUUGACCUCGGAUCAGGUAGGGAUACCCGCUGAACUUAAGCAUAU